AUUGAACGCUGGCGGCAGGCCUAACACAUGCAAGUCGAACGAGUGGCGGACGGGUGAGUAAUGUCUGGGACACUGCCCGAUGGAGGGGGCUAACUACUGGAAACGGUAGCUAAUACCGCAUACCCUCGGAUGUGCCCAGAUGGGAUUAGCUAGUAGGUGGGGUAACGGCUCCCCUAGGCGACGAUCCCUAGCUGGUCUGAGAGGAUGACCAGCCACACUGGAACUGAGCCACGGUCCAGACUCCUACGGGAGGCAGCAGUGGGGAAUAGUGCCAGAUGGGCGCAAGCCUGAUGCGGCCAUGCCGCGUGUAUGAAGAAGGCCUUCGGGUUGAAAAGUACUUUCAGCGAGGAGGCGUUACUCGCAGAAGAAGCGCCGGCUAACUCCGUGCCAGCAGCCGCGGUAAGUC
This 406-nucleotide ribosomal RNA is filed under the name uncultured bacterium. RNAcentral describes it as "partial 16S ribosomal RNA". It matches the Rfam family "Bacterial small subunit ribosomal RNA", at positions 30 to 526 of the family's 1533-position model. The record is from RNAcentral.